GUGGGCGUAGCUCAGCUGGUGAGAGCACCGGGUUGUGGCCCCGGAGGCCGCGGGUUCAAAUCCCGUCGCUCACCCCA
This 77-nucleotide transfer RNA is filed under the name Desulfobacca acetoxidans. RNAcentral's name for it is "tRNA-His". It matches the Rfam family "tRNA". From Rfam's summary of the family: Transfer RNA (tRNA) molecules are approximately 80 nucleotides in length. The record is from RNAcentral. Lineage: Bacteria; Pseudomonadati; Thermodesulfobacteriota; Desulfobaccia; Desulfobaccales; Desulfobaccaceae.